This is a long non-coding RNA of Perca fluviatilis (European perch), 228 nucleotides long. RefSeq lists it as uncharacterized. NCBI's taxonomy places the organism in Eukaryota, Metazoa, Chordata, Actinopteri, Perciformes, Percidae. The record is from RefSeq and is a predicted model, not a curated record. The transcript has 3 exons.
UGCAGUCAGUCAGGCACACAGAACUACACUGAGGACAACAAGACUCAGGCUAUAAUGGAGAAAAGCCAAUGGGAUCUGAAAAAAAUUAGAUUCCAGAGACGUCGUCUCACAAGGCUUGACGACUUUGUACAGAUUUAUCAGCAGACACAUAAUGCUCUCUUGAUGGAGUUCUCUGACUCAACACGCAAGAGAAAAACAUACAGGGUAAAUGUUGAGCGCUGGAGAAAA